AGAGAAAUAGCUGGGUCAGAUGGUGGGUCCAUUCCCAAUCCCAAUUUUCCAAGGAAUAUCCAUACUGCUUUCCAUAUUGGCUGCACCAGUUUGCAGUCCCUCCAGCAGU
RNAcentral lists this microRNA precursor (109 nucleotides) under Marmota monax (woodchuck). The record is from RNAcentral. Lineage: Eukaryota; Metazoa; Chordata; Mammalia; Rodentia; Sciuridae.